Molecule: long non-coding RNA, 10141 nt
Filed under: Homo sapiens (human)
Lineage: Eukaryota; Metazoa; Chordata; Mammalia; Primates; Hominidae
Description: HSALNT0337597
Source: RNAcentral
UGACGCAGGCGCGGUUGGAAAGAAGCUGAGGACUGGAUGUGCGGAAACCAGGCUCUUCAUUCGAUGUACAAAAACCACAAGAUUAUCUAAAUAGAUGCAGAAAAGGCCUUCGAUAAAAAUCCUCAUUCCUUCAUGUUAAAAACUCUCAAUAAACUAGGUAUUGAAGGAACAUACCUCAAAAUAAUAAGAGCCAUUUAUGACAAACUCACAGCCAGUGUCCUUACUGAAUGGGCAAAAGCUGAAAGCAUUCCCCUUGAAAACCAGCACAAGACAAGUUUGCCCUCUCUCCCAACCCCUAUUCAAUAUAGUAUUGGAAGUUAUGGCCACGGCAAUCGGGCAAGAGAAAAAAAUGAAGAGUAUUUAAAUGGGAAAAGAGGAAGUCAAACUAUCUUUUUUUGCAGGUGACAUAAUCCUAUAUCUAGAAAACCCAUUGUCUCAACCCAAAAGCUUCUUAAGCUGAUAAGCAACUUCAGCAAAGUCUCAGGAUAAAAAAUCAAAGUGCAAAAAUUGCUAUACACCAACAACAGGCAAGCCAAGAGCCAAAUCAUGAAUGAGCUUUGAUUCACAAUUGCUACAAAAAGAACAAAAUACCUAGGAAUACAGCUAACAAGGGAAGUGAAGGACCUCUUCAAGGAGAACUACAAAGCACUGCUCAAAGAAAUCAGAGAUGAUGCAAACAAAUGGAAAAACGUUCCAUGCUCAUGGAUAGGAAGAAUCAAUAUUAUGUAAAUGGUCAUACUGCCCAAAGCAACUUAUAAAUUCAAUGUUAUUCCCAUUAAAUUACCACUGACAUUCUUCACAUAAUUAGAAAAAACUAUUUUGAAAUUUAUAUGGAACCAAAAAAGAGCCUGAAUACUGAAAGCAAUCCUUAGCAAAAAGAACAAAGGUGGAGGCAUCAGGCUAGCUGACUUCAAACUAUACGAUAGGGCUACAGUAACCAAAAUAGCACGGUACUGGUACAAAAACAGAGACAUAGACCAAUGGAAAAGAAUAGAGAAUACAGAAAUAAGACUGCACACCUACAACUGUCUCAUCUUUGACAAACCUGACAAAAACAAGCAAUGGAGAAAGGAUUCCCUAUUUAAUAAAUGGUGCUGGGAGAACUAGCUAGCCAUAUGCAGGAUAUUGAAACUGGCACCUUCCUUACGCCUUACACAAAAAUCAACUCAAGAUGGAUUAAAGACUUACAUGUAAAACCCCAAACUAUAAAAACACUAGAAGAAAACCUGGGCAAUACCAUUUAGGAUAUAGGCAUUGGCAAAGAUUUCAUGAUGAAAACACUAAAAGCAAUUGCAACAAAAGCAAAAAUUAGCAAAUGGGUCUAAUUAAACUAAAGAGCUUCUGCACAGCAAAAGGAACUAUUAACAGAGUAAACAGACAACCUACAGAACGGGCGAAAAUUGUUGCAAUCUAUGUAUCUGACAAAGCCCUAAUAUCCAGAAUCUAUAAGGAACUUAAACAAAUUUACAAAAAAAAGCAACCCCAUUAAAAAGUGGGCAAAGGACAUGAACAGACACUUCUCAAAAGAAGACAUACAUGUGGCUAACAAACAUGAAAAAAGCCUUCACAUCACUAAUUAUUAGAUAAAUGCAAAUCAAAACCAAAUGAGAUACCAUCUUACAUCAUUCAGGAUGGUGAUUAUUAAAAAGUCAAAAAAUGACAGAUGCUGAUGAGGAUGUGAAGAAAAAGGAACACUUUAAUACUGUUGGUGGGAGUGUAAAUUAGUUCAACCAUUGUGGAAAACAGUCUGGUGAUUCUUCAAAGACAAAGAGGCAGAAAUACCAUUCUACCCAGCAAUCUCAUUACUGGUUAUAUACUCAAAGGAAUAUAAAUCAUUUUCUUAUAAAGACACAUGCACAUAUAUGUUUAUUGCAGCACUAUUCACAAUAGCAGACAUAGAAUCAACCUAAAUGCCUAUCAGUGAUAGAUUGGAUAAAGAAAAUGUACAUAUACAACAUGGAAUACUAUGCAGGCAUAAAAAGGAAUCAGGUCAUGUGCUUCGCAGGGACAUGGAUGGAGCUGGAGGCCAUCAUCCUUAGCAAACUUACACAGGAACAGAAAACCAAAUACUGCAUGUUCUCACUUACAAGUGGGAGCAAAAUGAUGAGAAUACAUGGACACAUGGCGGGGAACAACACACACUAGGGUGUGUUGGAGAGUAGGGAGAGGAUCAGGAAGAAUAACUAUUGGAUAAUGGGCUUAAUACCUGGGUGAUAGGAUGAUCUGUGUAGCAAACCACCAUGGCACACAUUUACCUAUGUAACAAACCUGCAUAUCCUGCACAUGUAUCCCUGAACUUAAAAUAAAAGUUGGAAAUAAAAAAAAAAGAGUGAUUAUGUCAGGGACUAGGUGGUAGCUGUGGAGAUGAUGAAAAGUGGUCAGAGUCUAGAUGCAUUUUGAGGGUGGGCUUGAUUGGCUGGUGGAUUAGAUGUGAAGGAUGAGAGAAGAAAAAGGUACUAGGAUGACUCUAGAGUUUUUGCCUUGAACAAGAAAAAAGGAUGAAUGCCAUUUACCAAGAUUAUAGAAAAUAGCCAGUCUGUUUAUUCUUACACUAUCAAUUGACACAACUUCCAGUUAAUAAGUUCACUUUAUUUUCUGAAAGUUACAGGAGAAGACUUUACUGGUUAUGACCUUAUACUGCUUUAAUGGUCAUCUGUAGCCAAAAUCAUGGACAUAAAUUCUGAGGAGGGUUCCUGGUAAGCCUCCCAUUCCUGCUAUGAGAAGAAACCAGCAUGCCCAUGCUUCCCAGCAGCAUACUGUAAUUGCUAAGUGUCAAUGAUGAUGUCAGUUUUAGUGUCUCAGUAACAGUUGCUAGAGGAAGGAAGGAAGGAAGGAAGGGAGGGAGGGAGGGAGGGAGGGAGGGAGAGGAUGAAGAAAAAGAACGAAAAGUUAGAAACUAUGUAGUCCCAGCCUCUAGAAGCCAGAGGCAUGAGGUCUACUUAGGGUCCUCUUGAGACAGGUGAAGACUUUUCAGUGUCACAAAAUUAAUAUCACAAAGUGAUAUUAUGUUAGUAUUAUGACAUCAAAAUGUGUGGGCAGGCUGGGCACAGUGGCUCACGCCUGUAAUCCCAGCACUUUGGGAGUCUGAGGCAGGUGGAUCACCUGAGGUCAGGAGUUCAAGACCAGCCUGGCCAACAUGGGGAAACCCCGUCUCUAUUAAAAAUACAAAAUUAGCGGCGCAUGGUGGAGCAAGCCUGUAAUCCCAGCUACUUGGGAGGCUGAGGCAGGAGAAUCACUUGAAUUCAGGAAGAGGAGGUUGCAGUGAGCCGAGAUCGUGCCAUUGCACUCCAGUCUGGGCAACAAGAGUGAAACUCCAUCUCAAAAAUAAUAAAAUAAUAAUAAUAAUAAUAAUAAUAAUAAUGUGUGGGCAGAUGUCAUCUACACCAUAGUUUCAGAAUGCAAUAAAUUCACAUUUAAAAACCUUGAAGUACACCGUAUCAAAACUUUACUUCAUCUUUCAUUCUUAUGUGAUUCAGUUGAUAGGCUGGAAGAACAAUGAAAGUGAGUUCCAUCAUGCUGCCUGGUGUCCGUGUCCUUAAUGAUAAAGACUUUGAGUGUAUUUGCAAACUCUCUGUUAAUGACAGCAUUUUUUUUUAUUCUGAGCUUUAUUAAGGUAUAAUUGACAUACAAAAAUUGUACAUAUUUAAGGUGUAUAAUGUAAUGUUUUGAUAUACAUAUACAUUCUGAAAUGAUUACCAAAAUCAAGAUAAUUAACACAUCCAUCACCUCAUAGUUAUCCAUUUAGCAAAUCCUUUACUAGGUGGCAAAAUUGAUUUUAAAAUCACAUUUUUAUCCCCUUGAAGUUUUUUCAUCUGUAAAUUUUCAAGGGCAGUCUUUUAAUAGAAUACAAACAGCUCAUUCCUUAUGUGGCUCCAAGCUGGCAUUUCAGCAUUGGGUUUAAACUUUAGAGCAACAUAUGAAAAUCUCCUGAAUAAACUUGUCAAUGAUUAUGGUCAUCAAAACUUAGUAUGAUCAAGGAAACUGGUUUUUGCAUAAUAUUCUGAAUAUUUAAACUCCACAGAGCUUGAAUAAAUGAAGUACAAAUUAAACAUAUCGAUUUUUUUCUUUUGGUACAUGGUCUAUGUUAUUGCAGAUUAGCAUCCCAAAUCCCAAAAUCCCAAAUUUGAAAUGCUUCAAAACUGAAACCUUUUGAGCACUGAUAUAAGUCUCAAGGGAAAUGCAUUUUGGAUUUCAGAUGCUCAACCAGUAAGCACAUAAUGCAAAUAUUAAAAAAUCUGAAAUCCAAAACACUUCUGGUCCCAAGAUAUGGGAUACUCAUCCUGUACCAUGGUAAAUGGUUAGUUCUUCCUUGGCUUAUGCCAGUGGUUCUUGAUUUAAGCCCCAGGAGAUAUUGGAAAUUUCUGGAAACAUUUUUGGUUGUCAAAGCUUGGGGGUGGAGUAUGUUUCUGGCAUCUAAUGGGUAGAGGCCAGGGAUGCUGCUCAAUCUUAUAAUGCAUAGGACAGGCCCCAGAAGAAAGAAUUGCCUGGCCCAAAAUGUCAAUCACUAGUGCUGAGGUUGAGAAUUCUUGACUUAGGCCAUAGCCGUUCCACAGCUCAAGUCACAGUUGCAUUCCUUUAGUUGAACCUUACAGUUCAGUUGUUCUACUCAAUAUUUGAAUGCUGAAGGAAGACUGGCCCUCUAGGGUUGUAUUUCUAGAACAGGGAGAAUGUAGUACUUUGAGGUUGCAUGCUUUAGAAUUAGUCAUUAUGUGAGUUGGAAGACCAUUUGAUUCUUUAUUAGAAGUUAGCAAGUGUGCCAGAUUAGACCUUCACCCAAGAACGUCAUGAGGGUUAAUGAGAGGUUUUUAAAAGAUAAUAGUUAUCUUUGUUUCAUGUUUAACAACUUUAUGCAUUGGCUGGUCAUUCCAGCUCCACAGAAAGCUCUUCAGUUGAGUUUCAAUUACAGCCCGCAAUUCCAGAUGCUACAACAUUUUAACUGUGGCUGCCAGAUAUCAGUGAGAUUCACAGGCCUGGAGUACAACAUUCUUUACAAUGUGUGCUUCAUAUUUUGAAGGCCAUCUGUCUCAUUUUCAUCUACAAUUGGCUCUGCCGAAGUUUUGCAUGCCAAAUGAUAUUUUUUAAAAUAAGCUUUUGUGCUACUUUAAAAAUGUUUCAAAAAUAUCUUCGAGAUACAAUUCACACACCAUGAAAUUCAGCCAUUUAAAGUGUACAAGUCAGUGGUUUUUAGUAGAUUCACAAAGUUGUGCAACUAUCACUACAGUCUAAAUUUAGAACACUUUCAUUACUCCAUAAAGAAACCCCAUGCCCAUUAGCAGUCACUCCAGUUCCUCUCCUAGUCCUGGGCAACCACUAAUGUAAUUUCUGUCUCUAAAGAUUUGCCUGUUCUUAUGAGGAGUGGCGGUGUACACCUGUAGUCCCAGCUACUUGAGGAGGCCAAGGCAGGAGGAUCAUUUAAGCCCAGGAGUUUCAGGCUGCAGUGAAUUAUGAUACUGCUACUGCACUCCCAUCUGGGUGACAGAGUGAGAACCCAUCCUCUAAAAAAAAUAAAGAUUUGCCUAUUCUAGACAUUUCUUAUAAACAGAAAUAUACAGUAUUUUGGGACUGCUUUUUUUCACUUAGCAUAAUGUUUUUAAGGUUCAUCCAUGUUGUAGCAUGUAUAAGUAUUUCAUUUCUUUUUUGUCCAAAUCAUAUUCCAUUAGAAGUAUAACCAUAUUUGAUUUAUCCAUUUAUCGUUUGAUAGGCAUUUGGGUUGUUUCCACAUUUGCCUACUAUAAAUAAUGCUGCUAUAAAUAUUCACAUACAAGUUUUUCUGUGAACACAUGUUUUCAUUUCUCUCCAUUAUUAUUAUAGGCUGAACUGUGGCUCCACCAAAUUCAUAAUUUGAAGUCCCAACCCCUAGUAUCUCAGGAUGUAACUGUAUUUAAAGAUAAGGUGUGUAUAGAGGUGGUUAUGCUAAAGUAAAGCUGCUAGGAUGGGGGCUCUAAUCCCGUAUGAAUAGUGUCCUUAUAAAAAGCCAUCAGGGGCCUGUCCGCACAGGGAAACACCAUGUGAGGAUACAGAAAACAACCAUCUGCAAGAAAGGAGAGAGAUCUUAGAAGAAAACAGACCUGCCAGCACUGUAAUCUUCAACUGCCAGGCUCCAAAACUGUAAUAAAUAAAUUUCUGUUGUUUAAUUUACUCAGUCUGUGGUAUUUUGUUAUGGCAGCUCUAGCAGACUAUUACAGGUAAAUACCUAGGAGUAGAAAUGUUGGGUCAUGUGGUAACUCCAUUUAACACUCCAGGUACCUGCCAGACUGUUCAUAUGAGUUUUUGUAUGAAUAUAUGUUUUAUUUUCUCUUAAGUACAUAGGAGUGGCAUAGCUGCUAGGUGUACAUUUAACUAUUUAAGACACGGAUAAAUGGUUUUCCAAAGCAGCUGUACCAUUUUACAUUCCUACCAGCAAUGUUUGAGGGUUCCAAUUUUCUGUAUCCUUAACAAAACUUGUUAUUGUCUAUCUUUUGACUAUAGUUCAGGGACUAAGCUCUGAUUUUUAUCUUGCCCAAAUUCCUACCUAAGAGGUCUGGGGAGUCAUGUCCUACAAACCAUGGAUCCUCAUCAGAUGGCUUUUAUUUGACCAUGUAUAUUGUGACUUGCUUUUCAAUCUGACUCUGGCGUGACAUUAUGAGACAAGGAAAUAAUAUUUAGCCCCAUAAUAUAUUUCCUUGCCAUGCCUCGAAAUUGCCCUGCAAAGUCUCUUGUGGGAAAAAUCCACAUUCCAUAGAAAAUCUCCUUCCCCUUUUAUUUUCUUUCCUUUCUUUGCAGAUCCAGUGGAUAAUCAACUAAGAGCUAGGCAUCCUUUUAGAUUUGAUAAGAAACAUUUUACAACCUACCCUCUCUCUGAAGUCUGCCAUCUGAGAGAUUCUUCUGAACAAUAAAACUGGUUCUCCACAAUCCUUUAUCUUAACCUGAACAUUCCUUUCUAUUGAUCCCAAGUCUUUAGACAAAUUCAACCAACUGUCCACCCGAAAAUGUUUAAAUUUACCUAUAGCCUGGAAGGCCCCACUUUGAGUUGUCUCACCUUUCUGAACCAAACCAAUGUAUUUCUUAAAUGUAUUUGAUUGAUGUUUUAUGCCUCUCUAAAAUAUAUAAAACCAAGCUGCACCCCGACCACCUUGGGCACAUGUUCUCAGGACCACCUGAGGGCUGUGUCACGGGCCAAGGUUGUUCAUAUUUGACUCAGAAUAAAUCUCUUCAAAUAUUUUACAGAGUUUGACUCUUUUCAUCUACAAGUCAUGUGGUGUAAAGUGAUAGCUCAUUGUUUUCUAAUAGACUAUUUUCUACGAAAGUUUUAGGUUCACAGCAAAAUUGAGCAGAAAGUACACAGAGUUCUCAUAUACCCCUGCCUCCCCCCAACCCCAUGCACAACCUUUCCUACUAUCAAUAUCCCACAUCACAGUUGUACAUUUGUUUCAAAUUAUGACACAUCAUUAUCCAAAGUCCACAGUUUAUAUUAGGGUCCAUUUUUGGUGUUGUACAUUCUAUGGGUCCAGCAAAUGUGUAAUGACAUAUAUCCACCCGUGUAGUAGCAUACAGAAGGCUCACUGUCCUAAAAAUCCCGUUUUGUUUAUUCAUUCCUUCCUCCUCUCCAAACCUUCAUAUUUCGGUUUUGAUAUCUACUUUCCCAGCUGCUAAAGCUGUUGAUCAUCUUUUCAUGUGCUUAUUGGUCACUUACAUAUUAUCUUCUUUGGAGAAAUGUCUAUUCAAAUCCUUUGCCCAGUUUUAAAUUGGGUUAUUUGUCUUUCUGUUGUUGACUAUCACUUUUUAAGGUUGAGUUUGCUCCCUGCCAAGGAGGAAAACCCAUGACUUUUGUCUACUAUGAGAAAAACGCUAAUACUUUAUUAUUCUGGAGAAUGGCUUCCUCAGGAAUUUCACUGUUCCUUUCUACUUGAGAUUCACUAAAUGUUAAUACAGCCACUUUGUGGUUUCGGAGCAGAGCCAUCAUUUUUCUUGGCAGCCAGAUUUAUAGGACUCCAAAAGAAACAACCAGCAUUAGGCAGUAUUAAAUAAAAUUUGGAGAUAAAAGCUAAUCAGUGUGUAUAACAAUUACUGAUAUCAAAAUCAAGGAAUAAGAAUCAAAUAGCACUUCUUACUGUUCAUGGACUUCAAAAGAUUUAUAUGAAUUUGGUACUAUUAAAACUUCCUCUAAAUUUAAAUAUGAAACAGAUGGGAAUAAUACAGUUACAUGAGAAAUAUUAGUCAUUUCUCAGUGCUUAUGAGCUGGGUCCCUUUGGUGGACAGUAUUUGUGCAAAUGUUUUAGUAACUACAUGACUCUGCUCUGUUGUGAGCCAUAGUUAUCAUAUUUUUAUUUAUUCUAACCAGUUAAAUUACUAUUUACUGAACACCCACUGCCUCUUGUACUGAAGUCAUUAAAUUCUUUGAUACAUUUUAAAAAAGAAAUAGUUGCUUUUUCUCUGUUUACUAACUUUAAAAAAAAAGAAAAUAACACCCCCCAUUCCUCCUUGUAUUUCUUAGUUGGCUGAAGAUAUUCUGGAACUUAACACCAUAUAUUUUGGGAGAAAGAAAAACAAACCUAAAACAGAAAAUACCAUAGUUAUUUAAAUAUAGGACUUAAACUCUUGAAGUUUAUCUGCACUUAAAAAAAUUCUUUCCUUUUCUUAAAAUUUUUCAGAAAGGAUUUCACUAUCUCCUUUGAUAGUUUAUUCUGCAUUCUAAAACUCUCUUUUCUCAUGGAUAAUCAAAACCGAUCCUAUAGGCGCCUCUUCUGUAUUCAGUAGAAAAGGUGACUAGCAGCCGGGUGUGGUGGCUCAUGCCUGUAAUCCCAGCACUUUGGGAGGCCAAGGCAGGUGGAUCUCCUGAGGUCAGGAGUUCGAGACCAGCCUGGCCAACAUGGUGAAACCCCGUGUUUACUAAAAAUACAAACAUUAUCUGGGCAUGGUGGUGGGUGCCUUGUAAUGCCAGCUACUCGGGAGGCUGAGGCAGGAGAAUUGCUGGAACCCGGGAGUAGGAGGUUGUGGUGAGCCAAGAUCGCACCAUUGCACUCCAGCCUGGGUAACGAGUGAAACUCAAUCUCAAAAAAAAAAAAAAAAAAAAAAGGAAAAAAGAAAAAAAGAAAUGGUGACUAGCUUCCCCCCACCAUCUUGAUAUAAUGAUGAAAUUCUUCACGCCUUCUCUACCCAAUGAGGGAGAAAACAAACAUGAAAAUAUUGCAAGACACAAGACUAAGUACUAACAUUUGUUGACAAUAUUAAUUUUCUCAAUGUUUAGGUUUCUGAAAACAGAACAUUUACUGUUGACUUUUUCCCUCAUGUUACCAGGUGUAUCUCCAAACAUUCUAGAAACUUCAUGAGAUAAUAAAUUAUUAUUAAGCCUAAAUUAGGUGCUUUAUCUACUUUUUGACUGAAAAAAUUGAAACAUGGAAUAAAUUCAUUAUUUAAUAUUAACAUAGGUCUACAUUUCCUCUGCAAAAUUCUUGACCCAUAACUGCCAAUUUUAAGAUUAAAAAUACAGGCUGAGUGCAGUGGCUCAUGCCUGUAAUCUUAGCACUUUGGGAGGCUGAGGCAGGAGGAUCACUUGAGCCCAGGAGUUUGAGACCAGCUUGGGCAACAUGGAGAAACCCUGUCUCUACAAAAACUACAAAAAUCAUCCUAGUGUGGUGGCAUGUGCCUGCAGUUCCAGAUACCUGGGAGAUUGAGGUGGGAAGAUCACCAGACCCUGGGAGGUUGAGGCUGCAGUGAGUCAUGAUCAUGCCAAUGCACUCCAACGUGGGUAACACAGUGAGAUCUUGUCUCAAAGAAAAAAAAAAAAAGUUGAAAAGGAAAGAAAAAAACUUUUCAGGAAGGGUACACAUGCAAAGCAAGCCUGGCACGUAAUGAGUAUAAAUUAGAAACUAUAUAAAAUAUAUACAUUACAAAAUAUAAUAAGUUAAUGUAUAUAAAAUAGAAAAUAUACUUUUUUGGUUAAUAAAACAAAAUGAUGUGAGGUUAUGAAGAAAUUGUAUAAUUUCUUAAUUGGCUUUGAAAGCAAUUUCAAGCAUCCUAAAAGAGUUUCGAGUGAUAAAAACUUAACUAGAAUAAAAGCUUCUCACAUUCGUAAGAGCAACAAUUACUUCUCUUCCAGUGAUCUCCAAACUUAUUUAAUUACAUAUCUCACCAGUAAAAGGUUUGUGCAACUAUAUAUCCA